GGUGCCCCCCUUGUGGUCGGUAUACAGGUGGUGCAUGGCUGUCGUCAGCUCGUGUCGUGAGAUGUUGGGUUAAGUCCCGCAACGAGCGCAACCCUUGUUCUGUGUUGCCAGCAUGCCCUUCGGGGUGAUGGGGACUCACAGGAGACUGCCGGGGUCAACUCGGAGGAAGGUGGGGACGACGUCAAGUCAUCAUGCCCCUUAUGUCUUGGGCUGCACACGUGCUACAAUGGCCGGUACAAUGAGCUGCGAUGCCGCGAGGCGGAGCGAAUCUCAAAAAGCCGGUCUCAGUUCGGAUUGGGGUCUGCAACUCGACCCCAUGAAGUCGGAGUUGCUAGUAAUCGCAGAUCAGCAUUGCUGCGGUGAAUACGUUCCCGGGUCUUGUACACACCGA
RNAcentral lists this ribosomal RNA (391 nucleotides) under Streptomyces caeruleatus. RNAcentral's name for it is "bacterial SSU rRNA". It matches the Rfam family "Bacterial small subunit ribosomal RNA", at positions 1011 to 1393 of the family's 1533-position model. Lineage: Bacteria; Bacillati; Actinomycetota; Actinomycetes; Kitasatosporales; Streptomycetaceae. The record is from RNAcentral.